GUCACACUCUUUAUCACUCUCUGC
RNAcentral lists this non-coding RNA (24 nucleotides) under Arabidopsis thaliana (thale cress). Lineage: Eukaryota; Viridiplantae; Streptophyta; Magnoliopsida; Brassicales; Brassicaceae. The record is from RNAcentral.